AGACCCGAAACCCGGUGAUCUAGCCAUGGGCAGGUUGAAGGUUGGGUAACACUAACUGGAGGACCGAACCGACUAAUGUUGAAAAAUUAGCGGAUGACCUGUGGCUGGGGGUGAAAGGCCAAUCAAACCGGGAGAUAGCUGGUUCUCCCCGAAAGCUAUUUAGGUAGCGCCUCGUGAAUUCAUCUCCGGGGGUAGAGCACUGUUUCGGCUAGGGGGCCAUCCCGGCUUACCAACCCGAUGCAAACUGCGAAUACCGGAGAAUGUUAUCACGGGAGACACACGGCGGGUGCUAACGUCCGUCGUGAAGAGGGAAACAACCCAGACCGCCAGCUAAGGUCCCAAAGUCAUGGUUAAGUGGGAAACGAUGUGGGAAGGCCCAGACAGCCAGGAUGUUGGCUUAGAAGCAGCCAUCAUUUAAAGAAAGCGUAAUAGCUCACUGGUCGAGUCGGCCUGCGCGGAAGAUGUAACGGGGCUAAACCAUGCACCGAAGCUGCGGCAGCGAACGUAUCACCCAAGACAACUUUACGGAGUUGACGAUUGACGGAGCGAAGCGACGUCAAAGCGUUCAUUAAAGUCGAGUUGGCUUAGGGAUACGUUCGUUGGGUAGGGGAGCGUUCUGUAAGCCUGUGAAGGUGUGUCGUGAGGCAUGCUGGAGGUAUCAGAAGUGCGAAUGCUGACAUAAGUAACGAUAAAGCGGGUGAAAAGCCCGCUCGCCGGAAGACCAAGGGUUCCUGUCCAACGUUAAUCGGGGCAGGGUGAGUCGACCCCUAAGGCGAGGCCGAAAGGCGUAGUCGAUGGGAAACGGGUUAAUAUUCCCGUACUUGGUGUUACUGCGAAGGGGGGACGGAGAAGGCUAUGUUGGCCGGGCGACGGUUGUCCCGGUUUAAGCGUGUAGGUGUGUGUUCCAGGUAAAUCCGGUUCACUUUAACACUGAGGCGUGACGACGAGGCACUACGGUGCUGAAGCAACAAAUGCCCUGCUUCCAGGAAAAGCCUCUAAGCAUCAGGUAACACGAAAUCGUACCCCAAACCGACACAGGUGGUCAGGUAGAGAAUACCAAGGCGCUUGAGAGAACUCGGGUGAAGGAACUAGGCAAAAUGGUGCCGUAACUUCGGGAGAAGGCACGCUGACACGUAGGUGAAGUGAUUUACUCAUGGAGCUGAAGUCAGUCGAAGAUACCAGCUGGCUGCAACUGUUUAUUAAAAACACAGCACUGUGCAAACACGAAAGUGGACGUAUACGGUGUGACGCCUGCCCGGUGCCGGAAGGUUAAUUGAUGGGGUCAGCGUAAGCGAAGCUCCUGAUCGAAGCC
RNAcentral lists this ribosomal RNA (1312 nucleotides) under Salmonella enterica. RNAcentral's name for it is "partial 23S ribosomal RNA". It matches the Rfam family "Bacterial large subunit ribosomal RNA", at positions 711 to 1919 of the family's 2925-position model. The record is from RNAcentral. RNAcentral also lists the same sequence under 1 other name. Lineage: Bacteria; Pseudomonadati; Pseudomonadota; Gammaproteobacteria; Enterobacterales; Enterobacteriaceae.